UUUUUUUUUUUUCGUUUUUUUUUUUUUUGUCUUUUUGCCUUUUCUAGGGCUGCUUCCUGCGGCAUAUGGAGGUUCCCAGGCUAGGGGUCGAAUCGGAGCUCCAACAAUAAACAAACAAGCAAACAAAUAAAUAAAUAUGUCCAAGGUACAAAGCAGAAAAUGCGACUCAUCAAGAGCUUCCUUUGCUUUAUCGUGGCAACUAUUCGAACUUUAACAGCAACAGAAUUAUUCCUAAAUAUCACUUAUCUUGCACUUGAAAUCCUAUUUUUACUUAUUUAUGAUCCUGAAGACAAGUGCAAAGCACUCAAUUAGUAUUCAAAACAACCCUAUGAGAGAAGUACUAUUAUUAUCCACAUUUUACAGAAGAGGAAAUUGAGGCAUAGAGAGUUUACAUAACUAGCCCAAGGUCACAAGACUAGUAAGUGGUAGAGUCUAGAUUUAAUCCAGCUGUCUGGCUCCGGGGUUAGCGCUCUUAAUGGCUUCAUUACGCUGCCUCUCCCUGUUCAACUUCAUUAUGUUAUAUCUCUCCCACUCACUUUUAUUAGCUCAACCAUCCAAAUGCAGCCAAAUUUCUGGUGCCAACUCCAUCAAUCAAGGCAAAGAAGUGAAUUAAAGUAAACAAACUAUUAUUCUCAGGCACAGUACUUAAAAAUCUAUGACAUUAGUCUAUUAAUAACUAUGCACUGAUCUAGCUUAUCUAUGGAGUAACAAACCAACUAUCAACUGACAAAUCACUUGUUAGAGUGGGUAACUAAUCUGAACCAAACAUCAUUUCCAUGGAGACAGACAAAGUAUCGACGGGUUCAUGAAAUUAAGUAUGAUGACCUUGAGCCAUGCAUGCACAGAUCAAGCAACUGACAGAAACAAAAACAAAAUUUUAAGUAUGGAAUACAUAGACAAUGGGGAGUUCCCAUUGUGGCGUGGCGGAAACAAAUCCUAGUAACCAUGAGGUUUCAGGUUUGAUCCCUGGCCUCGCUCAGUGGGUUAAGGAUCCAGCGUUGCUGUGGCUGUGGUGUAGGCUGGCAGCUGUAGCUCUGAUUAGACCCCUCGCCUGGGAACCUCCAUAUGCCACGGGUGCAGCCCUAAAAAGAAAAAAAAGAAAAAAAAAGAAUACGUAAGCAAUGGCUCAAAGAUGAUGCAGAAUAAGUAUUCUGGGAAUGAAUGUUUGAGAAGUGAUUUUGAUCAUUAUAAUACUCCACUAUGAACUGGCAAACUAUAGUUCAUGGGCCAAAUUUGGCCCGCAGCCUGUUUUUGUAAAUAAAGUCUUAUGAGAACAAAACUAUGCUCAUUUUGUUUUUUUUUUUUUGUUUUUUUUUUU
This 1318-nucleotide long non-coding RNA is filed under the name Sus scrofa (pig). Its description in RNAcentral is "lncRNA (ENSSSCG00005017721.1)". The record is from RNAcentral. Lineage: Eukaryota; Metazoa; Chordata; Mammalia; Artiodactyla; Suidae.